Long non-coding RNA from Zophobas morio, 269 nucleotides. RefSeq lists it as uncharacterized. Lineage: Eukaryota; Metazoa; Arthropoda; Insecta; Coleoptera; Tenebrionidae. The record is from RefSeq and is a predicted model, not a curated record. The transcript has 3 exons.
UAAAAAAGCAUUCUCAUUGGCCCACGUAUCCUCAAGUGUAUGUUAAAGGAGUUUUGGUGGGCGGUCUUGAUAUUGUUCAAGAGCUGAUUGCUUCAAAGGAGUUUUUUUCUCUACUUCCUUCCUCUUGUUAUAAAGAAAGCGCUAAGGCCCUUCACGCGAGGCUGAAAAAUCUUAUCCAAACCAGUAAAGUCGUACUUUUCAUGAAGGGUACGCCCGACCAACCAAAGUGUGGCUUUAGUAAAACGAUGGUUGAUCUUCUUAAGUAUUCC